Molecule: ribosomal RNA, 589 nt
Filed under: uncultured bacterium
Lineage: Bacteria
Description: bacterial SSU rRNA
Rfam family: Bacterial small subunit ribosomal RNA
Source: RNAcentral
CCUACGGGAGGCAGCAGUAGGGAAUCUUCCGCAAUGGACGAAAGUCUGACGGAGCAACGCCGCGUGAGUGAUGAAGGCUUUCGGGUCGUAAAACUCUGUUGUUAGGGAAGAACAAGUGCUAGUUGAAUAAGCUGGCACCUUGACGGUACCUAACCAGAAAGCCACGGCUAACUACGUGCCAGCAGCCGCGGUAAUACGUAGGUGGCAAGCGUUAUCCGGAAUUAUUGGGCGUAAAGCGCGCGCAGGUGGUUUCUUAAGUCUGAUGUGAAAGCCCACGGCUCAACCGUGGAGGGUCAUUGGAAACUGGGAGACUUGAGUGCAGAAGAGGAAAGUGGAAUUCCAUGUGUAGCGGUGAAAUGCGUAGAGAUAUGGAGGAACACCAGUGGCGAAGGCGACUUUCUGGUCUGUAACUGACACUGAGGCGCGAAAGCGUGGGGAGCAAACAGGAUUAGAUACCCUGGUAGUCCACGCCGUAAACGAUGAGUGCUAAGUGUUAGAGGGUUUCCGCCCUUUAGUGCUGAAGUUAACGCAUUAAGCACUCCGCCUGGGGAGUACGGCCGCAAGGCUGAAACUCAAAGGAAUUGACGGA